RNAcentral lists this long non-coding RNA (527 nucleotides) under Trifolium pratense (red clover). RNAcentral's name for it is "long non-coding RNA (TPRA_LNC004106)". Lineage: Eukaryota; Viridiplantae; Streptophyta; Magnoliopsida; Fabales; Fabaceae. The record is from RNAcentral.
UCAAGUCCAAGUGGUCUGGUCCUUUUGUAGUUAAGGAGGUGUUUCCACAUGGGGCUGUGGAAAUUUUCAAAUCGGGGGAGGAGAAUCAGAGUUUUAAGGUGAAUGGUCAAAGGUUGAAAGUUUAUCGUGGUGGAGAGCUCGUUCGGCACAACGUGGCUCUUUUCUUCCAAGACCCUUAGGGGUAUGGAACGUCAAGCAUCGGGACGUUAAACAAGCGCUGGUUGGGAGGCAACCCAACGGUUUCUAAUGAUUAAUUGUUUUGUUUUGCAAGAUGCAGGUAGGUACGCAGCUAUUAGCAGCAAACAGAGCAGGAACAGAGCACUGAUGAAGUGAACUACGCUGGGGGCGUGGUACAGUCACGCGCGGCGUCGUGUAAGUGCAGGAAAGAGGUACCACUGGAGUAUCGGUCACGCGCGGCGUGGUGGCUUCCCACGCGCGGCGUGAUGAUGGGAGUGGAUAAGUGAGCUCUCUGACUAGUGAUCACGCGCGGCAUGGUAUCUUUCACGCGCCGCGUGACCAAGGCAGAG